Long non-coding RNA from Cebus imitator (Panamanian white-faced capuchin), 1072 nucleotides. RefSeq lists it as uncharacterized. The transcript has 4 exons. The record is from RefSeq and is a predicted model, not a curated record. Lineage: Eukaryota; Metazoa; Chordata; Mammalia; Primates; Cebidae.
AAAUGCAGGAGAUAGAAGGAGAUGGGGAUGGGGGCAGGAAGAAACCAAACCAAGAAACUUCUGUGGAGGAUCUUGUCCUCCAUGAUCACAGACUUCCUUGGCUAAAUUCUGUCUUCCUUCUCAAACAUUUCCCAAGCAGCAUACUGUAGGCUAUUUUGGGGAAAUAUUUUCACAAAAUAUCUAAACCUUAUGUUUGCUGACAGGCUACAAAGUCUAGGUUCUAAGUAAGAAAUUUUCAUCUCACACCAGAACUUUCCAGUCCAACUGGCACUUCUGCUUCUCAUGAAUCCUGAAGAACAGAUGGAAUUGGGAACCUAAUUUUGACUGAGCUUAAAUCCAGCCUUAGGUAUAAUUUAAAAAAUCUCCUAUCAAUAUUCCACUGGUUUCUGAUGUUUUCAUUUGAGUGGACUAGUUUCUCUCAGGAAAAACUGAAAAAGAAAAUCACAAAGCUGGACAGCGCUGGACCCAUCAGAGUUUCAAUACUGGCAAGAGAAAAAGGCCAGUCCUCUGGGGAGCCCUCUUGGAAAAGAUGAAGCACUGGACAUUAUAAACUAACUACUUUCAACACCUGGAUGAAUCUAGGAGCAGGUUAGUCCCGACAUCAAGGCAAUGUCAAGAGUGGAAGGGAGAAUCAAGGCUUUUUUUGAGUGAUUGUUUCCUGGAAGCACAGCAUAUAAAUUCUCCAGUUAACAUAAAAACCAUAUGAAGAAGGAAAAAGCCUUUAAAUACGUGAGGGCUGAUGAGGUAAUUUGUGAUGCCAUACACACACAUUUUUGCUUUUUCAAACAUUGUCACCACUUUUGUUUUAGUUAGUUCUAAAGGUCUCACCUCCCUUAAUUGACUGAAAUCUUUGAGAUCAACAAUUGUGGCUUAUUUAAAUUUGGGGUCAGGUUUUGGCAUUGUGCAUAACAUAGAAUAGCAGCAUUCAAGGAGUGUUUGUUGACUCGAUUGUGAAAUCAUAAGACCAGACACUAUUUUCACAAACAGGAUGUCUUCUUUUUUCCCAAAAAAGAAAGUUUGCAUCAUUUUCUAGGCUUCUGUAGGGGAACGAUGGUGGCACGAAAGCUCUGAG